GUAUUUCUGAGGAGUCCCACAAUAGGACAAAACGGCCGUCCAGUGC
Schistosoma margrebowiei is the source of this 46-nucleotide non-coding RNA. Lineage: Eukaryota; Metazoa; Platyhelminthes; Trematoda; Strigeidida; Schistosomatidae. The record is from Rfam.